This 713-nucleotide ribosomal RNA is filed under the name Azadinium spinosum. RNAcentral's name for it is "partial Bacterial large subunit ribosomal RNA". It matches the Rfam family "Bacterial large subunit ribosomal RNA", at positions 19 to 793 of the family's 2925-position model. Lineage: Eukaryota; Dinophyceae; Gonyaulacales; Amphidomataceae. The record is from RNAcentral.
AUACGGUGGAUGCCUUGGCAGUUAGAGGCGAUGAAGGACGUGUAAGUCUGCGAAAAGCGUUGGUGAGCUGACAAAAAGCGUUAUAACCAACGAUGUCCGAAUGGGGAAACCCGGCACUUCGGUGUCAUCUGCAACUGAAUACAUAGGUUGCAGAAGCGAACGAGGGGAACUGAAACAUCUAAGUACCCUUAGGAAGAGAAAUCAAUUGAGAUUGCCUUAGUAGCGGCGAGCGAACGGGUAACAGCCGAUGGUUUAUGUUGUAGUGGAACGGUCUGGAAAGUCCGGCGAUACAGGGUGAUAGCCCCGUACACGAAGCAACAUUUAUCACAUAUUAAGUAGGUCGGGACACGUGUUAUCCUGACUGAAGAUGGGGGGACCAUCCUCCAAGGCUAAAUACUCCUAACUGACCGAUAGUGAACCAGUACCGUGAGGGAAAGGCGAAAAGAACCCCGGAGAGGGGAGUGAAAUAGAUCCUGAAACCGUAUGCGUACAAGCAGUGGGAGCAGACUUGUUCUGUGACUGCGUACCUUUUGUAUAAUGGGUCAGCGACUUAAUUUUAGUAGCAAGGUUAACCGUUUAGGGGAGCCGUAGGGAAACCGAGUCUUAAUAGGGCGCAUAGUUGCUAGGAUUAGACCCGAAACCGAGUGAUCUAGCCAUGCGCAGGUUGAAGGUGCGGUAACACGCACUGGAGGACCGAACCCACCGAUGUUGAA